CAUUCGCUCUACAAGAUGCAAAUGAAGUGGUUCGUGUCUCAACUUCAGAUGGAAAGGGUAAGCAGCCUAUGUUUUAUGAACAUCAAGAAGAGGAACGAACAUCAAAUCAUCUAUCUGGGAAUGAGCUUGUAGUUUGGGAAAAUACAGUUUCUAG
Zingiber officinale is the source of this 154-nucleotide long non-coding RNA. RefSeq lists it as uncharacterized. Lineage: Eukaryota; Viridiplantae; Streptophyta; Magnoliopsida; Zingiberales; Zingiberaceae. The record is from RefSeq and is a predicted model, not a curated record. The transcript is spliced from 2 exons.